RNAcentral lists this ribosomal RNA (545 nucleotides) under uncultured Glomus. Its description in RNAcentral is "SSU rRNA". It matches the Rfam family "Eukaryotic small subunit ribosomal RNA", at positions 548 to 1098 of the family's 1831-position model. The record is from RNAcentral. Lineage: Eukaryota; Fungi; Glomeromycota; Glomeromycetes; Glomerales; Glomeraceae.
UUGGAGGGCAAGUCUGGUGCCAGCAGCCGCGGUAAUUCCAGCUCCAAUAGCGUAUAUUAAAGUUGUUGUGGUUAAAAAGCUCGUAGUUGAAUUUCGGGGUCAGUAGGUUGGUCGUGCCACCGGUACGUACUGGUCUCACUGAUUCCUCCUUCCUGAUGAGCUGUAAUGCCAUUAAUUUGGUGUUGCAGGGAAUCUGGACUGUUACUUUGAAAAAAUUAGAGUGUUUAAAGCAGGCUAACGCUUGAAUACAUUAGCAUGGAAUAAUGAAAUAGGACGUUCGAUCCUAUUUUGUUGGUUUCUAGGAUUGACGUAAUGAUUAAUAGGGAUAGUUGGGGGCAUUAGUAUUCAAUUGUCAGAGGUGAAAUUCUUGGAUUUAUUGAAGACUAACUACUGCGAAAGCAUUUGCCAAGGAUGUUUUCAUUAAUCAGGAACGAAAGUUAGGGGAUCGAAGACGAUCAGAUACCGUCGUAGUCUUAACCAUAAACUAUGCCGACUAGGGAUCGGACGGUGUUAUUUUUUGACCCGUUCGGCGCCUUACGGGAAAC